Rosa rugosa (rugosa rose) is the source of this 1751-nucleotide long non-coding RNA. RefSeq lists it as uncharacterized. The record is from RefSeq and is a predicted model, not a curated record. The transcript has 4 exons. NCBI's taxonomy places the organism in Eukaryota, Viridiplantae, Streptophyta, Magnoliopsida, Rosales, Rosaceae.
CGUGCUCGGCUGCUAUCUUUUCACUUAUUCUUUUUGUUUUCCUUUUCUCACAGCUGCUUUACUUCAAUUUCCACUGUCAAAAACCCGAUGAACACGAGCUUGUUUGGUCAUUCUUGCCAAGUCGAAUUAGGGAUGGAUUUGGAGACAGCAAUCAAUUUGGCAAUGGAAUUGAAGAUGGGCCGCAACUAUAUUCUUGUCCAGAAAGGAUUUCAGAGCCUGCAAUUUAGAUUUCUGCACACAAAUUGGGUGAGGAUUUCGUUCUUUAUUUUACUCCUUGGUUUGAUCUGUGUACAACAAAACUGAAAUUUCUUCUUGAUUCUCUUCAUCGGUGACUCUGGGCUUUGAAUGUUGUUUUCUAGUGUUGCAAUUUUAUCGCGGUGAGUUCGAACAAGGCAAGGGUGUACUUUGGGUUGUGACAGCAAUACUCCUGCCUUUGACUCUUCCGAUGCGUAUAUGAGCCUAUUUUGAAGAGGGCAUUCUUUGAUUCCACCGAUAAGUUCCUGCAAUUAACUCCUUUUUCCUUUACUGCAGGAACUACAGGGGAAACCUCACCGGGUGGGUGCUGUUAUUGAGGUUCAAAACGGACCAGGUGAUAGUGGUCACAGCAGUGUUGGAAGUCUCAAAACUUUAUUUUAAGGAGUUCCCUUUUUUAUCAUCAUUUUUAAUUUGAAUCACGACCCUAUAUGGAAGCAAGGUCUGGAUGGUGAUCCACAAAGGGCCCUCUGUCAUGUUCCGGUUUAUUAAACUGCCGAAACUUGAGGAUGAUAUCGGCACCCUAAGGCUCGCCGUUUCAAAGUUCUGAAAACAGUAUUGGCACCGUAAGGCACCGCCACCGGAGCUUUGAAAGUAUUUUCGGCACCCUAAGGCACGCCGAGUUGAAGCUCAACGACAAUAUCGGCACCCUAAGGCACGCCGUGUCGGAGCAUGAUAUUGAUACCCUACGGUAUCGCUGGAGGCCUGCAUCAAUUUGAGAACAGCAAAGGAAAAGGUGCAGAUCGGUGAAAGUCUCACCCUCUUCCUUCUUGCUUUCUUCCUCUGCUUCUUCCCGGUCUCCUGAUGCUGCUAUGUUCUAUAUUUUCGUCCUCUGGUCCUCCUUUUCUUUUCUUCACAUCAUGCUUAUAUAAUGCACUAGUGACGAGUUUGACUUGCAUACAACAUUGAGAGUUUUAGAGUUCAACUCGAAGUGAACUAGUUGGAAACUUUAUCUCCACAAUAUUUUUUCUCUUCUGACGUCAAAACUGUAACUUAUUUUUUUAAUUGCAUUGCUGGCAAGACUUCUAACAAACCUAGAAGUCCAAUGCUUUACGAGCUUGACAAUUGUACUUCUUCACAUUCUUUUGUCUUUUGCCAUAGAAAUGCACUAGACGUCAAUCUCGUUGUAAUUGGAUAUAUGAAUUUUUUCGGUUUCAACAGUCUCCAAGUCAUCUUGUUCUCCAAGUUUGCUUCUCCUACAAGAUUGCUUCUCCUCCAAGUAAAUAAACUUCUUCUACAAGCUAUGACUCAUAAGUCAACAGAAAGGAAUUCGAGUACUACAACGAGGUUAGGGCAGCUUAACGAGGCAGGUUAAAUUCCUUUGAAGGUGCCCUUUAAGGAUGCAAUGGUCUGCUGCUCUUGAAGGCAUGUGGCUUUGGUUCUUUUAAUUGUCCUUAUCAAGAUUUGACCUUCUUCUCUGUUUCUCUUUUGGUUUUAGUUUUUAGCUUUUCAGUUGAUGAUCAUGAAUGCAAUUACAAGAAUAUGAAUUCUAAAUUAUC